GGGGGUGUGACGUGCUCAGACACCACAAGGGAGGAGGAGGAAGGAAGUCAAAGUGUGUCCUGGGCUGGUUGGUUGAAUAUUGGGCAGCAGAACCCCCUGAGGAAGCUCUGCAGGGUGUCCUUGGCUUCAUCUCCAGGCGUUGGGCUCAGCCCAGGGUUAGAUCUGACGUGGUGGGGCUGGAAAAGCUCGAGACAGGAGUGAGGAAGGAGCUCAGAGUGUGUCCUGGGUUGUUUUUUGGGCAGCAGAACCCCCUGAGGAAGCUCUGCCUGGGCCUGGAGAGUGAAUUUGGCUUCAUCUCCAGGGGUUGAACUCUGCCCAGGGUUAGUCCUGACACGGAAAACUUUGACACAGGAGAGUGUGACGAGCUCAGACAGCACAAGGGAGGGGGAGGAAGGUCCUCAGGGUGUGUCCUGGGCUGGUUUUUAGGGGGUUCCAGGU
Molecule: long non-coding RNA, 438 nt
Organism: Empidonax traillii (willow flycatcher)
Lineage: Eukaryota; Metazoa; Chordata; Aves; Passeriformes; Tyrannidae
Exons: 4
Source: RefSeq, a predicted model, not a curated record